RNAcentral lists this long non-coding RNA (1177 nucleotides) under Chrysemys picta bellii (western painted turtle). RNAcentral's name for it is "lncRNA (ENSCPBG00000000464.1)". The record is from RNAcentral. Lineage: Eukaryota; Metazoa; Chordata; Testudines; Emydidae.
AGUUGGGUAUUUUGUAAUUACAAAUUUACAAAUUCUGUCUGGAUUGGAUAGAGCAAGGGCAAGGUGCUCAUUUUUACUGUUUGUUUUAAAUAAAUGAAACUAGAUAAGGGGGCAGUGAAGGAGGCUUAUUCUGGCUCUUUUCUCUCCAGGAAGAUUAAAAUAUGUAAAUUGCUCAGCUGCUUCUGAAGUGCUGCUAAAUGCAGUGAUUGUGGAGGGCAUGGCAUGUUUUGCACCAAUUAAACCAAUGGAUUACUUGUGUGAGCAUGCAGGCUGAGGAGUCAGUGUGGCCUCGUGGAUAGGAUUCUGGAUAAUGACUCAGGAGACAUGGAUUCUCUUCCUGGCCACGGACCUGCUCUGUUAUGAUAAAACUUGGGCUAGUCAUUUCGUGUUUGGAUUGUAAACUCUUUAGUGCAGGGGCUUAUUAGCCAAAUUACUGUGUGGUCAUCAAGAAAAACCUUUUUCCAAUUGUUUAUUCUUUUUUAUGCUUUGUCCACAGCGAGACAGAGUUGACAUUUACUGUGUCCUGGAGAAAGUAUUAAAUCAGGACACCGGGGGCCUAGAGAGUAGGCUACUGAACAAAAUAAUAACCCUGGCCUCAAACCACAUGAGAGAGACUCAGGAAGCAACAAAUGAACUAAAACUGGCACCUAGCAACACCUUAGUGACCCUGGCACGCUGCUAUUUCUAUGAGGUGAUGUACGAGCUGCAGUGUCAUCUGAAACUACUGGAGAAGUCUGAAGAGUAUAUUUUCAUUACGCUGGUCAACCUGUCAUCAGCUUAUGGUAUGGUAACUUCCAUCUUUUGUUUCAAAGUUACCAGAUGUUACCCAGAACCACCUGCGACAAUGUUUUUUGUCCCAUCAGGCACUGGGAUCUCAACCCAGAAUUCCAAUGGGCGCGGGAGACUGCGGGAACUAUGGGAUAGCUAUGGGAUAGCUACCCACAGUGCAACGCUCCAGAAAUCGAUGCUAGCCCUGGUACUUGGACGCACACCGCCGAAUUAAUGUGCUUAGUGUGGCCACAUACAUUCGACUUUAUACAAUCUGUUUCCCAAAUUCGAAUUAUAUAAAUUCGGAUUAAUCCCGUAGUGUAGACAUACCCUUAGUAACGCUACUCAGGCUGCCUGGUGCUUCUGCCCCUGGUUAUUAUUAACGCAGAUACGGCAGCCUGCUCGUUCA